GAUGAACGCUGGCGGCGUGCCUAAUACAUGCAAGUCGAACGCUUCACUUCGGUGAAGAGUGGCGAACGGGUGAGUAAUACAUAAGUAACCUGGCAUCUACAGGGGGAUAACUGAUGGAAACGUCGGCUAAGACCGCAUAGGUGUAGAGAUCGCAUGAACUCUAUAUGAACAGUGCUACGGGACUGGUAGAUGAUGGACUUAUGGCGCAUUAGCUGGUUGGUAGGGUAACGGCCUACCAAGGCGACGAUGCGUAGCCGACCUGAGAGGGUGACCGGCCACACUGGGGCUGAGACACGGCCCAGACUCCGACGGGAGGCAGCAGUAGGGAAUUUUCGGCAAUGGGGGAAACCCUGACCGAGCAACGCCGCGUGAAGGAAAGAGUAAUUCGUUAUGUAAACUUCUGUCAUAGAGGAGGAACGGUGGAUAUAGGGAAUGAUAUCCAAGUGACGGUACUCUAUAAGAAAGCCACGGCUAACUACGUGCCAGCAGCCGCCGUAA
Molecule: ribosomal RNA, 498 nt
Filed under: uncultured bacterium
Lineage: Bacteria
Description: partial 16S ribosomal RNA
Rfam family: Bacterial small subunit ribosomal RNA
Source: RNAcentral